GAUGAAGAACGUAGCAAAAUGCGGUAAGUAAUGUGAAUUGCAGAAUUCAGUGAAUCAUCGAAUCUUUGAACGCACAUUGCGCCCGCUGGUAUUCCGGCGGGCAUGCCUGUUCGAGCGUCAUUUCAACCCUCAAGCCCCCGGGUUUGGUGUUGGGGAUCGGCUCUGCCCUUCUGGGCGGUGCCGCCCCCGAAAUACAUUGGCGGUCUCGCUGCAGCCUCCAUUGCGUAGUAGCUAACACCUCGCAACUGGAACGCGGCGCGGCCAUGCCGUAAAACCCCAACUUCUGAAUGUUGACCUCGGAUCAGGUAGGAAUACCCGCUGAACUUAAGCAUAUCAAUAAGCGGAGGA
RNAcentral lists this unclassified non-coding RNA (348 nucleotides) under soil metagenome. Its description in RNAcentral is "partial contains 5.8S ribosomal RNA, internal transcribed spacer 2, and large subunit ribosomal RNA". The stretch from base 1 to 120 matches the Rfam family "5.8S ribosomal RNA", at positions 35 to 154 of the family's 154-position model. The record is from RNAcentral.